Molecule: ribosomal RNA, 465 nt
Filed under: uncultured bacterium
Lineage: Bacteria
Description: partial 16S ribosomal RNA
Rfam family: Bacterial small subunit ribosomal RNA
Source: RNAcentral
ACGAACGCUGGCGGCGCGCCUAACCCAUGCAAGUCGAACGAGCGAGAGAGAGCUUGCUUUCUCAAGCGAGUGGCGAACGGGUGAGUAACGCGUGAGGAACCUGCCUCAAAGAGGGGGACAACAGUUGGAAACGACUGCUAAUACCGCAUAAGCCCACGACCCGGCAUCGGGUAGAGGGAAAAGGAGCAAUCCGCUUUGAGAUGGCCUCGCGUCCGAUUAGCUAGUUGGUGAGGUAACGGCCCACCAAGGCGACGAUCGGUAGCCGGACUGAGAGGUUGAACGGCCACAUUGGGACUGAGACACGGCCCAGACUCCUACGGGAGGCAGCAGUGGGGAAUAUUGCACAAUGGGGGAAACCCUGAUGCAGCGACGCCGCGUGGAGGAAGAAGGUCUUCGGAUUGUAAACUCCUGUUGUUGAGGAAGAUAAUGACGGUACUCAACAAGGAAGUGACGGCUAACUACGUG